RNAcentral lists this long non-coding RNA (4551 nucleotides) under Homo sapiens (human). RNAcentral's name for it is "long non-coding RNA NONHSAT188864.1". Lineage: Eukaryota; Metazoa; Chordata; Mammalia; Primates; Hominidae. The record is from RNAcentral.
UCUCAACCUGGGCAAUUUUUCCCUCCAGGUACACUUGCCAACAGCUGGACACAGUUUUGGUUGUCACAACUGGGCUGGUGAUGCUUGAGCCAUGGCAGCCACUGGAAACCUCAAGGCAAAGGCCAGAGAAUCUCAGAGAUGCAGAGACAGAGGCCUGACAUUCUAGAGCUAGAGAGUAAACCAAAUUAGAGUUGUCUUUUCUGGGCUUCUUGUUAAGGUCUCUCCUACCCCGGGGCCUGUGCACCUGCUGUGCCUCUGCUUGGGGUGCUCUUCCCAGGGCUUGCCCACCUCCUCAGAGAGGCCUCCUGACCCCUGACACGGCCUUGCCCUUCACCUCUAUCGUCCUUUAGAACAGCCCCCACCUCCCGCACAUCAUGCAGUUGCAGGUUCAAUGGCUACUGCUUGUCCUCCAGACUCGUCUCCACAAGCCAACAGCUCUCUCCUGGCUUUGAUUUUCAACCAUUUAAGUUGAAAAAAAUUCAAAACAAAUGAAAUGCACUUAAGAGAAAGCCUUGAGGAGUUCAGCAGGCCACCCAAAGUGAAGGGACUCCUUUGGGGGUCUUUGUUGUUAUCAAUUAUUUAUUGAGCCCUGAUGUGUUCCUGGCGCCACCAAGACCGAAAGGAGACAGGGUCCCUGCCCUGGGGCAUCCCAACAAAGAAGGGAGAGUUUGUGAAGCUUAAAAAUGUCCCAGAUGGUAAAACAGUUACACGUCAUACUUUAAUCAAUGACUCCUGAAAUUUUAGGAUAGGCCUCAUCACUCCUCAGAUGAUUCUCGAAGGAUAACACACAGGCCAGUGGGCAGCCCUAGGCCAGGGGGAUUACCAAGACAUGAAGACUUUCUUUCUGUCUCAGCAACCUUCAUGCUUGGUCAAGCAAAGGUGUUGCUUAAGUCAAACCCAGGGCAGGGGAGAGCAGUUGAAGCAAAGUGAGUCUUUGGAGGCCCUGUGGUUGUGGGGUCUGGUGUGGAGACAGUGAGAACGGAAAAGGUGGGAGAGGAGCAGUCAACCCGUGAAUGGCCCCAUUCAGACGCCUUUACCUGGAAGACGUGGCAGGUGAUACUGAGGUACUAGGGAGCUGUGAAGCAUAUGCUGUGAGACAACACAGCUGAGCAGCCCAGCCAGAGCCCCCUGGGGAAGCCGUCAGAGGUCAGCAGCUCCCGUCUCCUUCCCUCUUGACUCCUAAUAGUCUAGGACAGAACUUUGCCCUCCCUUCUUCCUGUCCCAAAGAUGCACAAUGAUAAUGAUGCUGAUGGUUAUUUAGUAAGAAACUUCCCAACAGGAACAGUCAUCAGGAGGGGGCACAGUUGGAUUCUCUCCAGUGAAGAUGUCAGGAUGGACAGAAAUGUCAGCGUAAUCCAAAGAGGACACAAACACCCCUGCUAUUUUCUUGUCACCAGGAAAAGGCCAGCUCUAGGUCUACUGGGGUUCAUCCCAUCUGAGCCAGGCCUGGCUUUUCUUGGCUGCAAGCUGAGAGCUGGGUCCAGGUCUGCUGAACCAAGGUUCUCCCAUCUUCCUUGAGCCAGUGACAAUCAGAGGCCUAUUUCUUUCAUGACGGAAGGCAGGAGAACAAGCAGGCAAGACCAGCUGUGCUAGCACAUGGCACCCCUUUCCCACAUCACACCUGCUAACAUCCCAUUGUUCAAAGCAAGUAACACAACCAAACCCAAUAUCAACAGGACAAGAAAACAGACUCCACCUCUAGGUGCACAAACUACAGAGUCACGGACAGAGAACACAGAUCUAGGGAAGGAAGCUGGAGAAUGAGAACAAUGACCCUCAAUAACACAACCUCCCACAGGUUUCCAAAUCCCCAACCUGAGCAUAUUUCCAAGGAAACGGAAUCAUGGGUUCAGGGUUUUAGAGCAAGCAAUUUCUGCUCUCCCAGCUUAGUUUCCAUACCCUUAACACAGGGGCAAUGACGUCGCAUCGAAUCAUAUCUUAUAAGUCUGUGAUGAUGUUUCAACAACUGAACGCCAGAAAAGUGCUUAGAGCAAGGCCAGGUCCCGGCUCACCCACCCAGCAGCUCAGCACCUGCGAAAUCCGUCUCCCGAUGCACACUUGCUAACCGCGUGGGUGUGAGCACAACGAUGGGAAACAGCGGAAGUCCCCGGAGUGCAGACUCAGGAGUGAACCUGCCUGAAGAGUGGCGUCUAACGCACACACUGUGGUCAGCUCCACCCCACUAUGGGUCCCGGGAAUAGGAGCAAGUAUGUAUUUUGCUUGCAGGGCAGGUGUUUCAUCCACAUUAUUGCAGGAACAGAUGAAUUUAAUUAAAAGAACACCACAGUGGGCACCUCUUCCAGGGAUGUCUCCCUCUAAGAACAUGACACUGAGAUGAUCAAGGUUCUAAAAGGGCGAUCAAAUUACUCUCCGAAAAUGAAACUGCUCAGACAGAAUGACAAUUAAAUUAAUAACAACCAAGACAAUGCCCAGAUUUCAUCUCCGCUCACAGCCCCUCCUGUGUGCUGUAUGAUCAGGUUCUUGGGGUGGCUCCAGAUACAGCAAACAGUCAGGAUUAAUCCACAAGAGUGAGCUGUCAGCAUGAGGUUCCCCUACAGUGGAGCUUGCCAAGGUCCGUGCCUCCCAGGGCACCCGUUCCAGGGCUAACAGAUGAAGCAUGGAAAUGCUGUGUGGAGUGAGCUAAGCAGCCGUUCUCAGGAGAAAACAGACAAAUCCUCCUGCAUCCUGGCAAACCAGCUUUGUGGCCUGUUUUAUGUCAUCUUUGCUGAGCUCCACCGGGUCACCCCUCCUGUUGGCUUUGUGAUACUGACAUUUCAGGCACUGGCACAGAUACAUUGGCCUUCCUGGCUGGGAUUUCACGGACGGAGUGAGCAGUGCUGGCUUGGAGGAGCCGUGGCGGCACAGGGCCUGUGCUCUCAGCUGAUCAACGCCUUGAUAGCCAGGAAAGGCCUGUCCUACCCCAAAGGGCCCUCGCAGCACUGUUUGAAAUUGCUCUUGCCAUCUUUGGAAUGGAUUCCUCAGUACAUUUCAGACUCGUUGUUGUGACUUUGGUUUUAAUCCAGGGACACACCGUGGCCAGUGGAGUGUCUCAACAGCAUCUAUGAUCGCUGUUUCCCAGAGACAGCAUCUCAGAUACCGAUGCUGAAAGAGAAACAGCAGCCUGUCCCCAAGUGGCAGGAAAUAGUCCAUUUUAAUGGCAAUUUCAUAAGUGGCAGAUGAUUUUUAUUGUAAUUUUCUGGUGAGCUGAUUAAGUGGAGGCAGAGUCAGUUCUGAGGCGUCAAUGUCUUUAACAAUUCGGGGAGACGGAGGCCACGCUCAGCAGGAACACUGAGUCCAUGGAAAACAGGCCCUGGGCCCGCUGAUGUGCAUAAUUCCACGUUUGCCCCUCAUGUAACCAGGAUGGUAAAUUACAGGUGUCAGAUAAUCACGCUCUGGAGUGGCUACUUGAGGAUGCGAUCGACCAAUUUAAGCUCCGUCUGACACAUGAUCAAUAGCCCGUGAUGCUGCAUGGAAUUGCAGGCACAGUGUCCAAACCUGCAGAGCAGUGGCUCCCAGCUGGGGCAACUUUGCCCCCCAGAGGACAUUUGGCAAUGUCUGGAUAUGUUUGCAAUUGUCACAACUAGGAAAGGAGGUACCCAUAGGAUACACAGGAAAGUCCUCACACAGUUGUAUCCUGCCCAGACUGUCCGUAGAGCCAGGGUGAGAUGCUCUGACAGAGCCACAGUGAACAUUGCAUUCCAUCAUCUGGGUAUCUCCAGGAAUGUAUGUAGCUGGAUGUCUGGCUUUUCAUCUGGGUUUCACGAGCCUCCUGCAGAACUGAAACCAUGUGCAAAUCAGUUCUCAUACUUGCUCUCCUGCCUCCUUCCUAUUGUAAUUUUUUCUUCCCACCUUUUUUAUUGUUACUAGAGAAAUGAUGAAGAAAAAGAAUAGGCUGGAGAGUCACUCAAAAUUUUGUUUUCCUCAAUUAAAAAGAAGUAAUUUAGAAGUUACUCAAUGAUGUUUUCUUUAAUUAAAAAAAAAAGUAGUUUGGGAAAGCAGAAAAUUAAUGAAGACAGAAAACACAGGUUUCAUGAAAAAGUUCAGCAUCCCAGGAAAGGAGCAAAGAGAAGUCUGCAGAUGAGAGUUGCUCAGUGUCAGGACUCAGAAAACAAUACCCCAAGAUAAUGUUCAAACCUGAGUGCUUUGAACAAAGGAUAUUGAAAGACCUCAGAAGAGGGCCUCAGAACUCACAUGUCUCUCUGACCUUCUCCUGUCUCUCCUUCACUUCCAAAGCAUGAUCUUUGGCCAGGGGAUCUCUCUGGGAUUCCCUUAUCUGCCUGAGGGAUGUACUUCCAAAAGAAAUGUGACUGGCAUGACCUCCUCCCUAGGAAUCUCUUCAAACAGCCGGGAAAGACUGGUCACCUGAGAGGAGAUUGGAAGUCCUCACUGCACUCAGAAAGGCUGUUGUCCAUUCUUCUAGAGACUUUAUCUGAAUAACAAGGCAACUUUUGUUUACCAUUCAGUUCCUCCCCUUUCCUUUCUAACUUGUCACCACCUCCCCCAAAAGCCUCAAGCCUCCACUCCUACAAGCUAUAAAGACUUCAACCAUCU